Molecule: ribosomal RNA, 227 nt
Filed under: uncultured Rhodovarius sp.
Lineage: Bacteria; Pseudomonadati; Pseudomonadota; Alphaproteobacteria; Acetobacterales; Roseomonadaceae
Description: partial 16S ribosomal RNA
Rfam family: Bacterial small subunit ribosomal RNA
Source: RNAcentral
GUGCCAGCAGCCGCGGUAAUACGAAGGGGGCUAGCGUUACUCGGAAUGACUGGGCGUAAAGGGCGCGUAGGCUGUUUGGUAAGUUGGCGUGAAAUUCCUGGGCUUAACCUGGGGCUGCGUCCAAGACUGCCUGACUUGAGGAUGGAAGAGGCUCGUGGAAUUCCCAGUGUAGAGGUGAAAUUCGUAGAUAUUGGGAAGAACACCGGUGGCGAAGGCGGCGAGCUGGU